RNAcentral lists this ribosomal RNA (341 nucleotides) under uncultured rhodophyte. RNAcentral's name for it is "SSU rRNA". It matches the Rfam family "Eukaryotic small subunit ribosomal RNA", at positions 576 to 926 of the family's 1831-position model. Lineage: Eukaryota; Rhodophyta. The record is from RNAcentral.
GCGGUAAUUCCAGCUCUGUAAGCGUAUACCAAAGUUGUUGCAGUUAAAACGCUCGUAGUCGUAUAUUGGCGGGCAUGUCGGGGCGUCCUCGCGGAUGUGCUCGGCGUGGCCGCCUUUGUGGAGGGGGGCUGCGUGGUGCUUCACUGCAUUGCGUGGUCGCUGCCACCGUUUACUGUGAAAAAAUUAGAGUGUUCAAAGCGGGCGAUUGCCAUGAAUACAUUAGCAUGGAAUAAUAGAAUAGGACUUGGUCUUAUUUUGUUGGUUUGUUGAGAUCAGGUAAUGAUUAAGAGGGACGGUUGGGGGCAUUUGUAUUCCGACGUCAGAGGUGAAAUUCUUGGAUU